UACAGAGGUCUCAAGCGUUUGUUCGGAUUCAUUGGGCGUAAAGGGUGCGUAGGUGGCGCGGUAAGUCGGGUGUGAAAUCUCGGAGCUUAACUCCGAAAUUGCAUUCGAUACUGCCGUGCUCGAGGACUGGAGAGGAACUGAGUAAUUGUGGUAGCAGUGAAAUGCGUAGAGAUCAUGAGGAAGACCAGUGGCGAAGGCGGGUCUCUGGACAGUUCCUGACACUGAGGCACGAAGGCCAGGGGAGCAAACGGG
This 252-nucleotide ribosomal RNA is filed under the name uncultured bacterium. RNAcentral's name for it is "partial 16S ribosomal RNA". It matches the Rfam family "Bacterial small subunit ribosomal RNA", at positions 524 to 776 of the family's 1533-position model. The record is from RNAcentral.